GUCACCGGAAUCUUGUCGACGCCGGUAACUCCCACCCUUCUUCUUCGUCCUUUCCUCCUCCUUCAUUGCGGUAUUGCUUUUCUUUCCUUUUAAUCGUUGUUGUUUGCCCAGCCACACAACCACCGCGAGUUUCCUCGCCGCCAGCAACCGCCGCGAACCUCACCGUCGCUGGACCGCCGACCUUGCACGCCACACACAACCGCCUGUGCACCGCCGUGCCUCAACUCGCCGCCGAUCUGCUGCCGCGCCUGUGCUCCGGCCAGCCUCUUCCCUUCUCCUUCUUGGCGGAGAAUUCUCUCUAGGCGACUUUUGAAAGUGUUAAAGUGGCCUAUCAGUUUGUUUACACAAGUCUCUAAGGAUCAAUAAGCAUUGUCCAUCUGCAGGUUUGAAGAUGUUGCAUCAUUGGGAUCGGGAAUAGAGAGCUUGUAUUUAGUUUUGUUUUGAUAAGUUGACUUGGGUUUGUUUAAUCGGACUUUAAACUUGUCGUACUAUUUA
This is a long non-coding RNA of Spinacia oleracea (spinach), 495 nucleotides long. RefSeq lists it as uncharacterized. The record is from RefSeq and is a predicted model, not a curated record. Lineage: Eukaryota; Viridiplantae; Streptophyta; Magnoliopsida; Caryophyllales; Amaranthaceae. The transcript is spliced from 4 exons.